GAUGAACGCUAGCAGCAGGCUUAACACAUGCAAGUCGAGGGGUAUAUAUCAGUAGCUUGCUACAGAUAUAGAGACCGGCGCACGGGUGCGUAACGCGUAUGCAAUCUACCUUAAUCAGAGGGAUAGCCCAGAGAAAUUUGGAUUAAUACCACAUAGUAUUAUAGAUUGGCAUCAAUCAAUAAUUAAAGAUUUAUCGGAUUAAGAUGAGCAUGCGUCCCAUUAGCUAGUUGGUAUGGUAACGGCAUACCAAGGCGAUGAUGGGUAGGGGUCCUGAGAGGGAGAUCCCCCACACUGGUACUGAGACACGGACCAGACUCCUACGGGAGGCAGCAGUGAGGAAUAUUGGACAAUGGAGGCAACUCUGAUCCAGCCAUGCCGCGUGUAGGAAGACUGCCUUAUGGGUUGUAAACUACUUUUAUACAGGAAGAAACCUACCCUUGCGAGGGUAAUUGACGGUACUGUAAGAAUAAGGAUCGGCUAACUCCGUGCCAGCAGCCGCGGUAAUACGGAGGAUCCAAGCGUUAUCCGGAAUCAUUGGGUUUAAAGGGUUCGUAGGCGGUUAAAUAAGUCAGUGGUGAAAGUUUUCAGCUCAACUGGAAAAAUGCCAUUGAUACUGUUUAGCUUGAAUUAGUGUGAAGUAACUAGAAUAAGUAGUGUAGCGGUGAAAUGCAUAGAUAUUACUUAGAAUACCGAUUGCGAAGGCAGGUUACUAACACUAUAUUGACGCUGAUGGACGAAAGCGUGGGGAGCGAACAGG
RNAcentral lists this ribosomal RNA (757 nucleotides) under uncultured bacterium. RNAcentral's name for it is "bacterial SSU rRNA". It matches the Rfam family "Bacterial small subunit ribosomal RNA", at positions 28 to 776 of the family's 1533-position model. The record is from RNAcentral.